Molecule: long non-coding RNA, 612 nt
Filed under: Linum usitatissimum (flax)
Lineage: Eukaryota; Viridiplantae; Streptophyta; Magnoliopsida; Malpighiales; Linaceae
Description: long non-coding RNA (LUSI_LNC006420)
Source: RNAcentral
GAGUUGCAGAGGGAAUUGUUUUCCCAAAACGUGAUGGCGGAAACGUUGCUUGCCGAUCGACAAGUGAGAUCUAGCGCCACCCUUUGAUCAGUAUUUCAAGGUCUCAAUCGGUAGCCUCGUUCCGACCUGCACGGGUUUCUGGCCAAGAGAGAGAGAGAGAGUCGUCGGCGAAGUUUAGCGUUCGGCUGCGGUGCAGCAGUUUUGGUGAUGCGUCGGAGGCGGCGACAUUCGAGUUAAGAGGCAACGUUGCCCCCGACGGUAGUUGGGAGGCUCGGUGACGGUUCAUGGAGCACAUAGGAGGGAGAAGCUGAUUCACCGGAACCUUGUUCGAAAACUAGGCAGAGGUUGCCGACAGUGAGGGCCUCGCCGAAGAAGAAGAGGGAUUAAACUGCAAGUCUCGAAAGUUAAGUGACUGAUCUAUGAGUCUGGUUAUUCUUAAGUCUUGCUUCCGUAGUUCUGAACUUUUGGAUGGUUUAUAGUUAAGGAGUUGGGUUAGAUUUUUCAACGACUGGAAGUUUCAGAAUUGUUGCAAAGAAGUAAAUGAAGCAUAACUCGAUCGUUUGAGCUCCAAACGACGCACGGUCAGAAGCUACGGACUCGUGGCAAUGAGAG